GGGUUGUGUGUUUGUUAACUAUCUAAGCGAGAGCAACACAAUAUGUUAGGUGGCACGUACCUGGGGUAGCUGUAGUAAUGCCUAACUGUUGGGGGGAUUGGGUUGGGUGGUUCGUACCCUCUUUACCACCAUGGCGUUGGUGGUGAGUGAGCUCUUUUGCCCUAGUGGCCUAAUAGGUUAUGAGCCCGUGUAAGCGCGACUGCUACAGGGUGUAACAGCAGUACUUUUUAUUUUGUUCCCUUUCUCUCCUUUUCCUUUAUUUGUUGGGUUCUGGGGGUGUCUGCAUGGGUAUUCAGAGAGAGCUUAUAGUGGAGGAGAUUGAUAAGUUAGUAACUAGUGGUUAUAUGA
Molecule: small RNA, 348 nt
Filed under: Histoplasma capsulatum
Lineage: Eukaryota; Fungi; Ascomycota; Eurotiomycetes; Onygenales; Ajellomycetaceae
Also listed under: 1 other name
Description: hypothetical RNA
Source: RNAcentral